Molecule: ribosomal RNA, 447 nt
Filed under: uncultured bacterium
Lineage: Bacteria
Description: partial 16S ribosomal RNA
Rfam family: Bacterial small subunit ribosomal RNA
Source: RNAcentral
AACGAACGCUGGCGGCAGGCUUAACACAUGCAAGUCGAGCGCCCCGCAAGGGGAGCGGCAGACGGGUGAGUAACGCGUGGGAAUCUACCCAUCCCUACGGAAUAGCUCCGGGAAACUGGAAUUAAUACCGUAUACGCCCUACGGGGGAAAGAUUUAUCGGGGAUGGAUGAGCCCGCGUUGGAUUAGCUAGUUGGUGGGGUAAAGGCCUACCAAGGCGACGAUCCAUAGCUGGUCUGAGAGGAUGAUCAGCCACAUUGGGACUGAGACACGGCCCAAACUCCUACGGGAGGCAGCAGUGGGGAAUAUUGGACAAUGGGGGCAACCCUGAUCCAGCCAUGCCACGUGAGUGAUGAAGGCCCUAGGGUUGUAAAGCUCUUUCACCGGUGAAGAUAAUGACGGUAACCGGAGAAGAAGCCCCGGCUAACUUCGUGCCAGCCGCCGCAGUAA